This 253-nucleotide ribosomal RNA is filed under the name uncultured bacterium. RNAcentral describes it as "partial 16S ribosomal RNA". It matches the Rfam family "Bacterial small subunit ribosomal RNA", at positions 524 to 776 of the family's 1533-position model. The record is from RNAcentral.
UACGUAGGGGGCAAGCGUUAUCCGGAAUUACUGGGUGUAAAGGGAGCGUAGACGGUGAUGCAAGUCUGGAGUGAAAGGCGGGGGCCCAACCCCCGGACUGCUCUGGAAACUGUAUGACUUGAGUGCAGGAGAGGUAAGCGGAAUUCCUAGUGUAGCGGUGAAAUGCGUAGAUAUUAGGAGGAACACCAGUGGCGAAGGCGGCUUACUGGACUGAAAUUGACGCUGAGGCACGAAAGCGUGGGGAGCAAACAGG